AACUUUGCUGAAAAUGAAUCUGAAUCCCCUUGUCCUAAAGAAUUCACAGUCAGGAUGGUUUUCUGGUGAAACUGGAGCAUGUAGACAUACCCUCAGGAGCAGAAAAUAAAUGCUGAUAAAGACUAAGGAAAAGCCAGAACCACACACAGACUGACUUACCCAGAGCAAAGAGCUGAGUGUUUUCAAGGCUGAAGGCAAACUUUAAGACAAAAACACAGAGAAAUGAGACAUAAAUGGAAACAGGUUCUGAGAAGUGGCACAUAGAGCAAAUGCAAAUGGGUGCUUGGAAAUUUAGAAGACAUGUAAGUGGCUCCAGCUUCCUUGGAGGGAUGGGAAGUUUCUGGGAAACACCCCACAGAGCUCUUCUCCAUCUCUUCUCAAGAGAAGACUGCUUGGAAAAUUGUGUUAGAGGUUUGCUUUCCCUCCUGGUUUGCUGGAGAGAGACGUUAUACCUGACUUUACUGGUCGCUUGAGGAUAAAAAACUAUGGCCAGUGCUGAAGACACUGUUUCCUUUAAAUUGAAUAUGUCCAGAAACCCUUCUGACAGGCUUUCUAAGCACUCAAACACUAGGUGAUGGGACGAAGAGAACUGAAAAUGUGACUCUUGCUACACUUUUAUUUCAGUCCUUCAAGGAAGAAGGCCACUUGCAUCAUGAAGGCAUGUGCUUGAUUAGUGUCUCUCUGGACUGAAGGCCCAGCCAUGGGACAAGGCAGUGUUUACAGAAAACACAGGAGGCACGUUGGAGCAGGAAAUACAAGGGCACUCAUCCUAAGACAACAAGCAGCCUUGGCUGAAAACCACAGAGUGGUUUCAAGGGAUGCUGCUGUCUAGUCUGGACUCUAUAGUGCCUGGACAAGUAAUGAACCUGGAGCAUCACCAAAGGCCGUGACCUGGAGGAACUGAAAGAGCCUUUCUCAGCUGGGGUGUGAGACGUGGCAUGGAUAAAGAGGGUCCUGAGAAACACACUGACAGUGCUUGGGAGUCAAGGCAGAAGGUAAGUCUAUACACCAUAGGGAUGCCCGAGCACACCCCACUUCUAUGGCACAGGCUGUAAUGUAUUAGACCUGUAAAUAUUGGUAUCUGCAGUUAAAAAUGAAAGGGAAGAGUUUUUAGCCUUCCUAUGUAUUCUCUGGCUUGCUGCUUUGGAACAGGAAUGCACUGUCAUAAUAUCUCUCAUAUGUUGCCAUGUCUUGCUGCUGCUUGGGUUGUCAAUGGGUUGUUUUUUUCACUGCAGACUAUUGAAAAGGGGCCUCGCAUGCUACAGACCAUAUGUGAGAGUUGCUUUCCUAAAUGCAGUAAUAAACAGCCAUGAGAUGAAAUAUCCCCAAGUAAUGAGAUUAGUGACACGGGAUACAGCUUUCAAAAAUAAUUACAUCUGACACCCUCAUCAGCAAGAAGAUGUAGGGGCUGCAAGCUCUAAGCUUGGGAACAGCAUAUGAAAGAUUGGCUUCUCCUGGGAAGGGAGGCACAAGGGAGGUUAUUUUUAGUACUUUGGAGGAAAAAAAGAAAAAGCCAGAAUUUAAGCUCUCUUUGGUUUGAUACCCUCGUUAUGGAGGAGAUCAUGGAGAAAUAAAGCAAAAGCGGCAAUGGAAAUGUUACUGAGCAUGGGAACUGUGGGAGCACGAGGCUGACCUGAGCAAAGCGGGAGUAGUAGGGUCAAUACGGAACGAGGUGGGGGGGGCACUCCUAUCCCCCCGCCACCCCUCCCCGUCCCGUCCUCGCUCGUGCCCGCCGAUACAAUAACAACCCAGCGACGGCGGAGCAGGCGGUUCCGUUUUCGCGACGGUAUAUAUAGAUCAGACACUUUCCAAAACAAGCAGCGCCGCCGAGUCUCUCUGUUCGGCGGCUCUUUCCACGCGUAAUUCAGAAAAAAAAAAUUAUUUUUUAAAAUUACUUUUUCUUUGACAAAGGAGAAGCUCUAUUCCGUGAAUGUGGCUGUUUCCUGACCCGCCGCCGGUUUGCGGUUACAGGCUGCUGAGAAAGUGAGCGGGGUCUGGCGGGGCGGCCCCGGGACCUCCUCUGCUUUUCCGAACCUUUUAAAAUUUUCCGGAACAAGCCCUAAAAGGGCAGGCGGGGCGGGGCCGGAUCCUCGCCUUUUUAGGACAAGGGCCCCGCCACCGGAAUACCCCCC
This is a long non-coding RNA of Serinus canaria (Common canary), 2132 nucleotides long. RefSeq lists it as uncharacterized. The transcript has 3 exons. The record is from RefSeq and is a predicted model, not a curated record. Lineage: Eukaryota; Metazoa; Chordata; Aves; Passeriformes; Fringillidae.